GACGAACGCUGGCGGCGUGCUUAACACAUGCAAGUCGAACGGAAAGGCCCUGCUUUUGUGGGGUGCUCGAGUGGCGAACGGGUGAGUAACACGUGAGUAACCUGCCCUUGACUUUGGGAUAACUUCAGGAAACUGGGGCUAAUACCGGAUAGGAGCUCCUGCUGCAUGGUGGGGGUUGGAAAGUUUCGGCGGUUGGGGAUGGACUCGCGGCUUAUCAGCUUGUUGGUGGGGUAGUGGCUUACCAAGGCUUUGACGGGUAGCCGGCCUGAGAGGGUGACCGGCCACAAUGGGACUGAGAUAAGGGCCAAAAUCCUAAGGGGAGGAAGAGUGGGGAAAAAUGGAACAAGGGCGGAAGCCUGAAGGAGGAACGGCGGGGGGGGGAAGAAGGCCUUUGGGGUGGAAACCGCUUUCGCCUGGGAAGGAGCGUGAGUGAAGGUAAAGGGGAAAGGAGCAACGGCUAACUAAGUG
Molecule: ribosomal RNA, 468 nt
Filed under: uncultured bacterium
Lineage: Bacteria
Description: partial 16S ribosomal RNA
Rfam family: Bacterial small subunit ribosomal RNA
Source: RNAcentral